UACGAAGGGUGCAAGCGUUAAUCGGAAUUACUGGGCGUAAAGCGCGCGUAGGUGGUUUGUUAAGUUGGAUGUGAAAUCCCCGGGCUCAACCUGGGAACUGCAUCCAAAACUGGCAAGCUAGAGUAUGGUAGAGGGUGGUGGAAUUUCCUGUGUAGCGGUGAAAUGCGUAGAUAUAGGAAGGAACACCAGUGGCGAAGGCGACCACCUGGACUGAUACUGACACUGAGGUGCGAAAGCGUGGGGAGCAAACAGG
Molecule: ribosomal RNA, 253 nt
Filed under: Pseudomonas koreensis
Lineage: Bacteria; Pseudomonadati; Pseudomonadota; Gammaproteobacteria; Pseudomonadales; Pseudomonadaceae
Also listed under: 1 other name
Description: partial 16S ribosomal RNA
Rfam family: Bacterial small subunit ribosomal RNA
Source: RNAcentral